CGAUUAUGCAUAAUUAUACGGUUUUUUGUUCAUUGAUACAGCUCCGCGGUACUUGGAAUGCCGGAACGCGAACCGCCGAUACGCCGAGUUUCCCGAUGAAGAGGAAUCGAUUCGUGUAACAAAACAUUACAUUUAGAGAGUUUUUUUAUGAUACUGUGGGAAAAUCAAAUUCCAGCGCCGCGCCUGAAUCGGCGAUUUUCUUUUUGCAAUAUCUCGAAAACGGAAAA
Long non-coding RNA from Nasonia vitripennis (jewel wasp), 227 nucleotides. RefSeq lists it as uncharacterized. The transcript has 2 exons. The record is from RefSeq and is a predicted model, not a curated record. NCBI's taxonomy places the organism in Eukaryota, Metazoa, Arthropoda, Insecta, Hymenoptera, Pteromalidae.